GGCAUCGAUGGUUAUUCCAGACUACCAGUAUUUCUACAAGUAAACACAAAUAACUGUGCAGAAACAGUGUUAGCUGCAUUUUUGCAUGCGGUCCAAGAAUAUGGAACUCCAGAAAAAGUAAGAACAGACAAGGGAGGAGAAAAUGUCAAAGUGGCUGAGUAUAUGGUAACCCAGAAAGGACCCAAAAGCUUUAUUGCAGGGAGAAGUGUCCACAAUCAAAGAAUCUGUGUUAGAUCCUGAUGAUGAGACCCAUCUCCUAGCUCUUCAUCUAGUAUUUAAGUCCAGGAUUCAGCAGCAUUUGGAUGUCUUCAGAGAUUCCUUCUGUCGGAGACCUAUUCGAACAGAGGGAAAUCAAACGCCUCUUCAGCUGUGGAUCAGAGGACAGAUACUGGAUCCGUCAUGGUAUCCGCAAAGUGAGAAUGAUCAAUUGAACUUUGGAAUUGACUAUGAUGGUCCAGUGCCAGACCACGUUGAUCCUGACUGCGUGGAAAUACCGCCAACACCAACAUUUCCUAUAAUGGAGGAACACCAUCAGACAAUAUCUGAAAUUACUCACAGAAACUCAUUGUGUUUUGGGAUAGAUCUUUUCCAGGAAAUGGUCCAACUCCUGAGAAGCUUUCAGUAGGCAUAAAUAUAUCAUGGAUUAUUACAUGGUUGAUGGUUUUUAAAUCUCCUCUAAACUUUUGUAAAAUUUUAUGUCCAUCACAGGAUUUAUUACUCCCCCACCGGGAACUUAAGGGGGGCUGUAGUUUGCGUCAAUUCUGUCUGUCGCUAUACUACAGUAAAACACGCUUACAAGAAACUCGCUUACAAUGAAUUCAGUGAUUUUUAAGUCCCCUUAGGUGUCUUUUAUAUGAAAAUCUAAAGUGUAUAAUGAAUUAUGCUUAUAACAAACUAAAAAUCAUGGUCCCCAGAGAUUUGUUAUAACCGUGUUUUACAUAGUAUUUCAUACUGAAAACUUGGCAUGUGGGCACACCAUGGUAAAAUGGUGUGUCUGGUACCAAAAGUAGGACACUGUGACCUUGAUUGUGACCUUGUACCUCUGUAAAGAAAAUCCUUGUUCAAGAUCCAACUCCUAUACCAUUUCAUAAUGGAACUUCACAAUUGGUAUGUAGGUGCACCAUGGUGAGAUGGUUUGUCGUGUACCAAAAGUAGGCCAUUGUGACCUUAACUUUGACCUCUGUGGAAGAAAGAGCAUGUCCAGGCUCAUACGUUUUCAUACUGGAAAUUCAAACCUGGCAUGUGGGUGCACCAUGGUAAGAAAGUACACAUGUAUAUGACACAUACCAAAAGUAGGUCACUGUGACCUUGACUUUGACCUCGAUCAAGGUAUGCCCGGUGGGGGACGUAAUUUUUCAAAUCUUGUUUUCCAUUUAAUUCUUAUUGCUUCAAAAGAAAUAUGAUGUUAAAAGCAAUGCAUACCAAAUAGAUGACAACACACAAAGAAGUUGAUGAAAUCAUUUUAAUAACAGUUAAUGCAUAUGAAAAUUUCUUUC
Long non-coding RNA from Ylistrum balloti, 1496 nucleotides. RefSeq lists it as uncharacterized. The record is from RefSeq and is a predicted model, not a curated record. The transcript is spliced from 3 exons. Lineage: Eukaryota; Metazoa; Mollusca; Bivalvia; Pectinida; Pectinidae.